RNAcentral lists this transfer RNA (57 nucleotides) under Errhomus camensis. RNAcentral describes it as "partial tRNA-Leu". The record is from RNAcentral. Lineage: Eukaryota; Metazoa; Arthropoda; Insecta; Hemiptera; Cicadellidae.
GUUGGCAGAUUAGUGCUUUAAAUUUAGAAUUUAAUUAAGUAAGUAUCAUUACAUUUA